GAGGGUACAGCUUAGUGGGAGAGUGUGUGCUUAACAUGCACAAGAUGCUAAGUUCAAUCCCCAGUACCUCCA
Molecule: transfer RNA, 72 nt
Filed under: Camelus bactrianus (Bactrian camel)
Lineage: Eukaryota; Metazoa; Chordata; Mammalia; Artiodactyla; Camelidae
Also listed under: 2 other names
Rfam family: tRNA
About the family: Transfer RNA (tRNA) molecules are approximately 80 nucleotides in length. Their secondary structure includes four short double-helical elements and three loops (D, anti-codon, and T loops).
Source: Rfam by way of RNAcentral